This 460-nucleotide ribosomal RNA is filed under the name uncultured bacterium. Its description in RNAcentral is "partial 16S ribosomal RNA". It matches the Rfam family "Bacterial small subunit ribosomal RNA", at positions 338 to 795 of the family's 1533-position model. The record is from RNAcentral.
CCUACGGGAGGCAGCAGUGAGGAAUAUUGGUCAAUGGACGAGAGUCUGAACCAGCCAAGUAGCGUGAAGGAUGACUGCCCUAUGGGUUGUAAACUUCUUUUAUAAAGGAAUAAAACGAGGCAAGUGUGCCUUUUUGCAUGUACUUUAUGAAUAAGGAUCGGCUAACUCCGUGCCAGCAGCCGCGGUAAUACGGAGGAUCCGAGCUUUAUCCGGAUUUAUUGGGUUUAAAGGGAGCGUAGAUGGGUUGUUAAGUCAGUUGUGAAAGUUUGCGGCUCAACCGUAAAAUUGCAAUUGAUACUGGCAGUCGUGAGUACAGUUGAGGUAGGCGGAAUUCGUGGUGUAGCGGUGAAAUGCUUAGAUAUCACGAAGAACCCCGAUUGCGAAGGCAGCUUACUAAACUGUGACUGACAUUGAUGCUCGAAAGUGUGGGUAUCAAACAGGAUUAGAUACCCCAGUAGUC